GUGUCAGCCGCCGCGGUAAUACGUAGGUGGCAAGCGUUGUCCGGAUUUAUUGGGCGUAAAGGGAGCGCAGGCGGUGACUUAAGUCUGAUGUGAAAGCCCACGGCUCAACCGUGGAAGGUCAUUGGAAACUGGGUCACUUGAGUGCAGAAGAGGAAAGUGGAAUUCCAUGUGUAGCGGUGAAAUGUGUAGAUAUAUGGAGGAACACCAGUGGCGAAGGCGACUUUCUGGUCUGUAACUGACGCUGAGGCUCGAAAGCGUGGGGAGCAAACAGGAUUAGAAACCCCCGUAGUCC
This 292-nucleotide ribosomal RNA is filed under the name uncultured prokaryote. RNAcentral's name for it is "partial 16S ribosomal RNA". It matches the Rfam family "Bacterial small subunit ribosomal RNA", at positions 505 to 796 of the family's 1533-position model. The record is from RNAcentral.